This 453-nucleotide ribosomal RNA is filed under the name uncultured Bacteroides sp. RNAcentral's name for it is "partial 16S ribosomal RNA". It matches the Rfam family "Bacterial small subunit ribosomal RNA", at positions 341 to 792 of the family's 1533-position model. Lineage: Bacteria; Pseudomonadati; Bacteroidota; Bacteroidia; Bacteroidales; Bacteroidaceae. The record is from RNAcentral.
ACGGAAGGCAGCAGUGAGGAAUAUUGGUCAAUGGGCGAGAGCCUGAACCAGCCAAGUAGCGUGAAGGAUGACUGCCCUACGGGUUGUAAACUUCUUUUAUACGGGAAUAAAAAAGGCCACGUGUGGCCUCUUGUAUGUACCGUAUGAAUAAGCAUCGGCUAAUUCCGUGCCAGCAGCCGCGGUAAUACGGAAGAUGCGAGCGUUAUCCGGAUUUAUUGGGUUUAAAGGGAGCGUAGGCGGGUCUUUAAGUCAGUGGUCAAAGCGUGUGGCUCAACCAUACCACGCCAUUGAUACUGGAGACCUUGAGUGCACAUAAGGAUGGUGGAAUUCGUCGUGUAGCGGUGAAAUGCUUAGAUAUGACGAAGAACUCCGAUUGGGAAGCCAGCUUACUGUAGCGCCACUGACGCUGAUGCUCGAAAGCGUGGGUAUCGAACAGGAUUAGAUACCCUGGUA